AUACGGAGGGUGCGAGCGUUAUCCGGAUUUAUUAGGUUUAAAGGGUGUGUAGGCGGGAGCCUAAGUCAGUGGUGAAAUCUCACAGCUUAACUGUGAAACUGUCAUUGAAACUGGGUUUCUUGAGUAUAGUUGAGGUAGGCGGAAUGUGUAAUGUAGCGGUGAAAUGCAUAGAUAUUACACAGAACACCGAUUGCGAAGGCAGCUUACUAAGCUAUUACUGACGCUGAUGCACGAAAGCGUGGGUAGCGAACAGGAUUAGAAACCCCGGUAGUCC
This 274-nucleotide ribosomal RNA is filed under the name uncultured bacterium. RNAcentral's name for it is "partial 16S ribosomal RNA". It matches the Rfam family "Bacterial small subunit ribosomal RNA", at positions 523 to 796 of the family's 1533-position model. The record is from RNAcentral.